RNAcentral lists this ribosomal RNA (453 nucleotides) under uncultured bacterium. Its description in RNAcentral is "bacterial SSU rRNA". It matches the Rfam family "Bacterial small subunit ribosomal RNA", at positions 346 to 796 of the family's 1533-position model. The record is from RNAcentral.
AGGCAGCAGUUGGGAAUGUUGGGCAAUGGAGGCAACUCUGACCCAGCCAUGCCGCGUGCAGGAUGAAGGCGCUCAGCGUUGUAAACUGCUUUUAUCUAGGAAGAACGGCUGAUUUGCGAAUCAGUGUGACGGUACUAGAGGAAUAAGCACCGGCUAACUCCGUGCCAGCAGCCGCGGUAAUACGGAGGGUGCAGGCGUUGUCCGGAUUUAUUGGGUUUAAAGGGUGCGUAGGUGGUCCUGUAAGUCUGGUUUGAAAGCUGGUGGCUUAACCAUCAGACGUGGCUGGAAACUGUGGGACUUGAAUGGGUUGGCGGUAGCUGGAACGGGUCAUGUAGCGGUGAGAUGCAUAGAUAUGACCCAGAACCCCGAUUGCGAAGACAGGCUACUACGACUUGAUUGGCACUGAGGCACGAGAGCAUGGGGAGCCAACAGGAUUAGAUACCCGAGUAGUCC